GACGCUUUAUCCCGCCCACUUUACAGUUGAAGAGCAGUUCCUCUUCAAUGAGCCAUGAAGAUCAUAUGACUAGGCUAGUCAGAAGUCAAGAAGACACACAACUCAGCUGAUAUGCACAACUCCACCAGCCAUCACUGUUGUAUCCUCCACUCUGAGCUCUGUGUGUGAGAGAGCAGAGCAGACGGGGCUUCCUGUGCUUGGAGGAGAGACGGUUGGAAAAAUGGCCUCAGAUCACUUGAUGGUUGCUGCCCUGGGUCGACCUUUCAUCCUAGGGAUGCUCUAUGAUGCUCGGAAAGAUGAACUGAUCCAAGGUUUGACUCUGUGGGAUCAUACAACUCUACAAGAGAACACAGUUGAAAGCACUCAGCCCAGCAGUUCAAUAAAGAUUUCUGUAUCAGACUCCAUUGAAUCCAAGUCCUCUCUGCUGGAUAUUAACACUUCUCUGAAGGCCAGUUUCCUGGGUGGACUGAUUGAAGUUGGAGGAUCUGCCAAAUAUCUGAAUGAUACAAAGAAAUUCAGAAAUCAGAGCAGGGUGACGUUUCAGUACAAAGCCACCACCAAGUUUAAACAGUUGUUAAUGAUUGACCUUGAAACCUUUGACACCCAACAUCUCAGCUCUCAUCUCAUCUCAUCUUCAUCCGAUUGCCCGGGAUCGGGUCGCGGGGGUAGCAAGUACAGCAGAGGACCCCAAACUUCUCUUUCCCUGGCCACAUCGGCCAACUCUGACUGGGGGAAACAGAAAGAUCUUAUUAAAAAGGGAUUUGCAACACAUGUAGUCACAGGCAUCCUUUAUGGGUCGAAUGCUCUCUUUGUGUUUGACAGUGAGAAGUUAGAAGCCAGCAGCGUUCAGGACAUUCAGCGUAGCAUGGAAGCUGUGAUAAAGAAAAUCCCUGCAUUUAAUGUUGAGGGGAAAGUUGACAUCAAGCUGACUGAUGAAGAAAAAGCUCUGACCAACAAAUUCUCCUGCAAAUUCUACGGAGACUUCAUUCUUGACAGCAACCCUGGAACAUUUGAACAAGCAGUGAAGACCUAUGCAGAACUUCCAAAGCUACUGGGAGAAGAGGGAGAGAAUGGUGUUCCUCUGAAGGUCUGGCUGAUGCCGUUGCAGAAUUUGGAUUCCAAAGCUGCUGAGGUGAUGAGUGGGAUCAGCAUUGGGCUAGUGAGGAAGGUGGAAGAAGCUCUUGAAGAUUUAAAGGAAAUAGAAAUGAGAUGCAAUGAUUCUCUGGAUGACAGAGUUGUGGUGGAUUUUCCACAGAUUCACAAGCAUCUAACCACUUUCCAAGAAUUGUGUAAUCAGUAUGCAGCUAGCCUCCAGCAGACCAUGGCGAAGGAACUUCUCCUCAUCCGUAAAGGUGAAACAAAUGGGAGCAAAAUACAAAAAGUCUUUGAAGGCAGAGACAUGUCACCAUUCAGUCAUGAGAAACUAAGCAACUGGCUGGAUCAUAAAGAGAGAGAAAUCAACGUCAUCAGGUCCUGUGUAGAAAUAAUGCAGGGAACAAAGAUCAUCCCAAAUCAGUCAGAGCUGGACAGAGAGGUUCUUGCUUCAGGUGUAGAGGAUACUCUAUGCUUUGUUUUCACCUCCCUGCAGAUGGGCAGCUACUUGGAUCUACUUGAGGCAGGAAGUAUCAAUGAAGCCCAGUGGUACUACUCAGAUGAAGUUUUAACCAACAUGAGAGAAAAAGCCAAAGCUUUCCAUGAUAUUGCCAAAGUCUUGACAAAAAACAGCAGAUUCCGCUUCCUGAUUGCAGCCUUUGCCAAUGAGAAAUACAAAGGAGCUUCAAUCUACCAUUACAGGGACGGCAAACUGGUCACUGAGAAUUUCUCAAAGCCUGACAUCACUAAUGUGGAGGCUGUCACAGACAGAAGAGAUUUAAUCUGGUACGCCUGUGAUCUCACUCUGGAUCCAGACACAGCACACAACAGCCUCACUCUGUCCGAUGGAAACAAGAAGGUGACACAUGGAGCAGUACAGUCGUACCCUGACCUCCCACACAGAUUUGAUUAUUAUCCUGAGGUCCUGUGCAGAGAGGGUCUGACUGGGCGCUGUUACUGGGAGGUGGAGUGGAGUACUGGCUAUAGUGAAGAUGUAGCUGUAGGUGUUACCUACAUAAGGCUGGGAAGGAAAGGAAAAGGCGACGACUGCUGGAUUGGAGGGAAUCCAAUGUCCUGGGCUUUAGGCCACAGAUGGUCCCCACCAGAUCCAACUCUCUAUGCAGAUAUUAAUUGUUCCCAACUCAAUUUCCCUGUUCCUGCUACUGGCUGCACUCGACUGGGAGUGUAUCUGGACUGGCCUGCUGGCACUCUGUCUUACUAUAAUGCCUCAUCUGACACACUGAGUCACAUCCAUACCAUCCGCACCAAGUUCUCUGAGCCUGUUUACCCAGCUUUCAAGAUAACUUUAACCAGGAGGAUUCCCGAUAUGCACCCUGUACUGAUUUGGGUGACGGUCUGGAGGACAGUUGGGAUGGAAAUGCCUUAGAGUCCAUUCAAGAAGCCGAAAAUCAAGCCUUGCAGAUCGAGCGAGAGACAGCAAAACCAACAGCGGACCCCGGAUCCUGAAGCCGACGGAUCACCAGACGUGCCGGGCCCCCGAGCUGUCACAACAGAGGCUGAGGUCAAUGCAGUACCUCCACCCCACUACCUGUUAGCAACCCUGAGACCUCAGACUCUUCCAAGCCGGUCUGUGUCACCAGCAUCCCGCACACCUCUCGUGGUUCCCGAGACACCCUAGUGUCUGAGGAAGAUCACUGUGUAAACCUCAAAGCAGUAACGCAGCCAGAAGACUAUUUGAAGUUGAAAAACUGCUGUAGGAGGAGUACAGCCGGGGAGUGGACCAACAACAACCUCUGACAAUCAACACAUGAACACCAUAGUGUUACUCUGUCAAGUCAUGCAGACUUUUAUUUCCUCAGUCGUUGCCGUAUGUGAAAAAAUGUAAAGGCAAGGUAUUAUUUUAAUUGAAAAAAUAAAUAAAAUAAAAAUGAAUGAAGAACUG
Molecule: RNA transcript, 2995 nt
Organism: Dicentrarchus labrax (European seabass)
Lineage: Eukaryota; Metazoa; Chordata; Actinopteri; Moronidae
Gene name: stonustoxin subunit beta-like
Exons: 9
Source: RefSeq, a predicted model, not a curated record